GCACACAAAUUAUCUCUAACGAACGUUUGGAGGUGGUUUCCUUUUGCGUUUUAAUCUCCACGAUUCUUUCCACGCCGUUAUUCAGAAGUUAGCUUAAAAUGUCAGCUACAAAAGAAAGAGUUUCUACAAUAAUGACGGGAACUAGAAUAGUAUUCUACUAUGGAUUUAUUCCAACUAUUUUGGUUCUAGGCUUCAUGAAGGGAGCAGAUGAAGGCAUGCCACCUUUGUCAGUAUUUAGUUUGCUGUGGCAAUAGUUCACUAAGUGAUGGAGCCUUUUGUUAAGUGUUUCCAGUCCCAAUUUCCAUCUGUGCGGAGCCUGCUAUGACUGGUUCAGUAGCACAAAGUGCAGCCCAUUACAAAGUUAACAUUUAAAAGUGCUGCCAACUGCAUUCAUUUAUUGUUGACUCAAAUACAACUUUUUACUUCUGUUACUUUGAAAAA
Molecule: long non-coding RNA, 441 nt
Organism: Biomphalaria glabrata
Lineage: Eukaryota; Metazoa; Mollusca; Gastropoda; Planorbidae
Exons: 3
Source: RefSeq, a predicted model, not a curated record